RNAcentral lists this ribosomal RNA (507 nucleotides) under uncultured bacterium. Its description in RNAcentral is "bacterial SSU rRNA". It matches the Rfam family "Bacterial small subunit ribosomal RNA", at positions 791 to 1297 of the family's 1533-position model. The record is from RNAcentral.
UAGUCCACGCCCUAAACGAUGAAUGUUAGUCGUCGGGUAGCUAGUCUAUUCGGUGAUGCAGCUAACGCAUUAAACAUUCCGCCUGGGGAGUACGGUCGCAAGAUUAAAACUCAAAGGAAUAGACGGGGACCCGCACAAGUGGUGGAGCAUGUGGUUUAAUUCGAAGAUACGCGAAGAACCUUACCUAGCCUUGACAUAUAUUAGAACACUUUAGAGAUAGAGUGGUGCCUUCGGGAGCUUUUAUACAGGUGCUGCACGGCUGUCGUCCGCUCGUGCCGUGAGGUGUUGGGUUAAGUCCCGCAACGAGCGCAACCCCUAUUCUCAGUUGCCAGCAUUUAAGGUGGGGACUCUGAGAAGACUGCCGGCGUAAGCCGAGAGGAAGGUGGGGACGACGUCAAGUCAUCAUGGCCUUUAUGCCCAGGGCUACACACGUGCUACAAUGGUAGGUACAACGGGUCGCGAAGCAGUGAUGUGGAGCCAAUCCCAGAAAGCCUAUCCCAGUUCGGA